This is a long non-coding RNA of Gallus gallus (chicken), 2125 nucleotides long. RefSeq lists it as uncharacterized. Lineage: Eukaryota; Metazoa; Chordata; Aves; Galliformes; Phasianidae. The record is from RefSeq and is a predicted model, not a curated record. The transcript is spliced from 2 exons.
GCCCGCGCGGCUGCAGCCCGGGUACGGCUGAGGGGAGGGGCCGAUGUGGAGCGCACGGCGCGGCGUUCUGCCUGUCCCAUCUGUGCGGUCCUCUACGUCUACUGGGAGAUCUCCGAGGCGGCCAAGCAGCGCACCGGGGAGCACGGGAGGAACGCGGCGGUGCGGCUGCCCAGGUGAAGGAAGCUGAUGGUGUUUACAGCUCAUCGUGCAGCUAUCACUUUCCAGAUAGAUGGAGAAACACAGAAGGAACAGAAAGAGAAGAAAGCUGCUUUGAUGGUUGGCAUCUCAAUCGGAGUUCUUGUACUGUGCUGGAUCCCCUUCUUCAUCACAGAAUUAGUAAGUCCCCUCUGUUCCUGUAACAUUCCACGCAUCUCGAAAAGCAUCUUUGUUUGGCUUGGCUAGUGCAACUCUUCCUUUAAUCCUUUCAUUUGUAUGGUAUUUAACAAAUAUUACAACCAUGCCUUCAAGAACCUUUUCCUGAAGCAGAGAUAAAAGGGGACAGAGAAGAAAAUGAUUCCUUUAUUGCACAAUACAGAGAUUUCUGGAGGGAAACGUGCCAGUGAUACAUGGCAGACUUAAAGCACAAGAUCUCAUUAGGGGGAUUUAGACGAAUCAAAGAAGAUUGAAGAUGUUUGCACAUAAACCUACAGUCAGUUUACAGUUCCCCCUAGGAAAUACAUAUAUGCUACUCCAGUGUUUGACAAAGAAAGAAGCAGUGAAUACGUCCCUUCUUUGAACUGUUGUGUGUUAAAGUUUGCAAGCAAAGCACUAUAUGCAUCUAAUACCAAGAAUGUCAAGUCUAACUUGAGUCAUCUCAUCCAGCCAACUACAGAUGCCAUCCUGCAGCUUGCUCUUCAUCAGCAAGGGCACCAAGGAGAACUGUGGAUUGAGCAACACUGAAAUGUUUGUGAUUGUGCACAGGAUGUUGGCUUUAUUUUGGGGACUUUUUUGGAAAGGAGAAAACAGAACGAACAUGCUGCAGUCAGUUCAUUGCUGAAUUUCUCUGAAAUUAAAAGGGGUGAGUAAGCAGUCCCAGAACACACCCAAGUCUGGCUGAGGGGCUGUGUCCUCCUGUAAACAGCAGCUCAGGGAGAAAGGUUGGUGAAGUAAAGGUCAGUUAUGUCCCUGGGGUUAAGUAAAAUUUUAAAGCCAAGUGUAAAAGCUGUUCUGAGCUACAAAGGUUAUUACUUUCAUCUGCUUGCAAAGGAGGAGGAUCUAGCCAGUAGUUUUUCACCUGUGUUUUGCUCUCUCAGCCUGCAGGGCGCACGCUCUCCCUGUUUUCCAGAACACCCAGGGGAGUUCAAGACAGACACCGGAUACCUCCAGUAGGAACUGUAUGCAUUGUUAUUUUAUUUAUAUAUUAUAUAUAUAUAUUUUAUAUAUGUUAAAUAUAUAUAUUUAUUAUUAUUAUUAUUAUGUGCAGUUACAAGCACAAAACAUGCUGUAUUCACUAGCAGCAACACAUGGCUGCUUUGUCAGCUGCAGGUGAAAGACUGCCUUGCCCCAUCUGGGGUUCUUACAUCAUAAGUGUACUCAUCACCCUAACUGAGUAAAUUCCACUAUUUGUCAUUUGGAGUCGACUUCUUCCUGUGAGAUAAGUAUUCCUGCCAUCAGAUCUAAGUGAAUCCAAAAAUAUAAAUAUAUUUAUAUUUAUGUACCAAGCCCAAUAUUUGGUAUAAUGGGAGCAUAGCUCUCAGAAAGUCAUCAACCUUGAUUUAAAAUGUUGCAACAUUGGAAAAUUUUCUACCUCCCUUGGUACUUUAUUUCCAUGAUUAAUUACUCUCAUAAUCAAAACCUGAAAAUUCAUUUUAACUGAAAGAAAAUGAAAGAACAAAAUGAAGCAUGCAGGCAUUCUUCCUUCUGGCAGUUCAAGCAUUAAAGUUCAAAUCUUACAUUACAUUUGUGCUGUUAUCCUUGGCUUCAAGGCAGAAUGAAGAGCAUACAGAAUAUACAAGCCCUGUGUGUAUGAAGAUGAACGAUAAAGUAUCUUGAAUAAGAAAUAAUAAUAAAUGUUUUUUAAGAAGGUAUUCUAAAGAAAGAUCAUUUAGCAGUGCUUAGACAUACAGUCGUUUAUUUCCCCAAAUACGAGUUGCCAGUUUGGAAUAAACCAGUUAUUUCUAUCUAA